This 253-nucleotide ribosomal RNA is filed under the name uncultured prokaryote. RNAcentral's name for it is "partial 16S ribosomal RNA". It matches the Rfam family "Bacterial small subunit ribosomal RNA", at positions 524 to 776 of the family's 1533-position model. The record is from RNAcentral.
UACGAAGGGGGCUAGCGUUGCUCGGAAUUACUGGGCGUAAAGCGCACGUAGGCGGCUUUCUAAGUCGGGGGUGAAAUCCUGGAGCUCAACUCCAGAACUGCCUUCGAUACUGGAAAGCUCGAGUCCGGGAGAGGUGAGUGGAACUGCGAGUGUAGAGGUGAAAUUCGUAGAUAUUCGCAAGAACACCAGUGGCGAAGGCGGCUCACUGGCUCAUUACUGACGCUCAGGCGCGACAGCGUGGGGAUCAAACAGG